AUACCGUGAUCAGUUAGGCGGUUCCCCCAGGGCGAGGCUGCUCCAUUGCACUGCGGAGUGGUUGACCCUUGCGAUUAUCCCUAAUGCGGAUAACUCGGACGCUAAUUUUUGGUAG
This 115-nucleotide small nuclear RNA is filed under the name Bombyx mori (domestic silkworm). RNAcentral's name for it is "partial U1 snRNA". It matches the Rfam family "U1 spliceosomal RNA", at positions 21 to 137 of the family's 166-position model. Rfam says of the family: U1 is a small nuclear RNA (snRNA) component of the spliceosome (involved in pre-mRNA splicing). Its 5' end forms complementary base pairs with the 5' splice junction, thus defining the 5' donor site of an intron. There are significant differences in sequence and secondary structure between metazoan and yeast U1 snRNAs, the latter being much longer (568 nucleotides as compared to 164 nucleotides in human). Lineage: Eukaryota; Metazoa; Arthropoda; Insecta; Lepidoptera; Bombycidae. The record is from RNAcentral.